AGCGAACGCUGGCGGCGUGCCUAACACAUGCAAGUCGAACGUGAAAGGGAGCAAUCCCCUGUAAAGUGGCUUACGGGUGAGUAACACGUAGGUAAUCUACCCCAGAAUCUGGAAUAACCGGCCGAAAGGCUGGCUAAUACUGGAUAGAGCGACGGAAUCCGUAAUUGGUUUUUUCGGGAAAGUUAGUCUGUAACAACUCCUUCGUUCUUGGCUGAGCCUGCUUCCCAUCAGCUAGUUGUUGAGGUAAAAGCUUACCAAGGCAAUGACGGGUAGCUGGUCUGAGAGGACGAUCGGCCACACUGGAACUGAAACACGGUCCAGACUCCUACGGGAGGCAGCAGUGGGGAAGCUUGCGCAAUGGACGAAAGUCUGACGCAGCAACGCCGCGUGAGUGAAGAAGGCCUUCGGGUUGUAAAGCUCUGUCGAGUGGGAAGAAAAUGCUUGGAGUUCAAAGCUCCAGGAACUGACGGUACCACUAAAGGAAGCACCGGCUAACUCCGUG
Molecule: ribosomal RNA, 502 nt
Filed under: uncultured bacterium
Lineage: Bacteria
Description: partial 16S ribosomal RNA
Rfam family: Bacterial small subunit ribosomal RNA
Source: RNAcentral